CACAUGCAAGUCGAGCGGCAGCGGGAAAGUAGCUUGCUACUUUUGCCGGCGAGCGGCGGACGGGUGAGUAAUGCCUGGGAAAUUGCCCAGUCGAGGGGGAUAACAGUUGGAAACGACUGCUAAUACCGCAUACGCCCUACGGGGGAAAGCAGGGGACCUUCGGGCCUUGCGCGAUUGGAUAUGCCCAGGUGGGAUUAGCUAGUUGGUGAGGUAAUGGCUCACCAAGGCGACGAUCCCUAGCUGGUCUGAGAGGAUGAUCAGCCACACUGGAACUGAGACACGGUCCAGACUCCUACGGGAGGCAGCAGUGGGGAAUAUUGCACAAUGGGGGAAACCCUGAUGCAGCCAUGCCGCGUGUGUGAAGAAGGCCUUCGGGUUGUAAAGCACUUUCAGCGAGGAGGAAAGGUCAGUAGCUAAUAUCUGCUGACUGUGACGUUACUCGCAGAAGAAGCACCGGCUAACUCCGUGCCAGCAGCCGCGGUAAUACGGAGGGUGCAAGCGUUAAUCGGAAUUACUGGGCGUAAAGCGCACGCAGGCGGUUGGAUAAGUUAGAUGUGAAAGCCCCGGGCUCAACCUGGGAAUUGCAUUUAAAACUGUCCAGCUAGAGUCUUGUAGAGGGGGGUAGAAUUCCACGUGUAGCGGUGAAAUGCGUAGAGAUCUGGAGGAAUACCGGUGGCGAAAGCGGCCCCCUGGAAAAAGACUGACGCUCAAGUGCGAAAGCGUGGGGAGCAACAGGAUUAGAUACCCUGGUAAGCCCCCCCCUAAACGAUGUCCAUUUGGAGCUGUUUCCUUUAGAAGUGGCUUUCCGGAGCUUACACGUUAAAUCCACCGCCUGGGGAGUACGGCCCCAAGGUUAAACUCAAAUGAAUUGACGGGGGCCCCCCAAACGUGGAAAUGUGGUUUAUUUCAUCAACCCAAAACCUUCCGGGCUUUAUUUUGGAACCUUAAAAUACGGAGGCUUCCGAAAAAAAACAGGCUCAGGGUUUCCCCCCGCUGGAUGUUGUAAACCCAAAAUCACACUUCUUUUUCCCGUAUGGGAAUAAGGAAGCCGAUACCGGAAGGGGGAAUUAUUUUGCUUCUCCGGUUCCCGUUAUAGGGAAAGGUCCUUUUUAGAACAAACGCCUCCGGGGGGCUCCCCAUAGAGACUAUC
This 1150-nucleotide ribosomal RNA is filed under the name Aeromonas hydrophila. RNAcentral's name for it is "partial 16S ribosomal RNA". It matches the Rfam family "Bacterial small subunit ribosomal RNA", at positions 52 to 1132 of the family's 1533-position model. Lineage: Bacteria; Pseudomonadati; Pseudomonadota; Gammaproteobacteria; Aeromonadales; Aeromonadaceae. The record is from RNAcentral.